Molecule: long non-coding RNA, 233 nt
Filed under: Vigna radiata
Lineage: Eukaryota; Viridiplantae; Streptophyta; Magnoliopsida; Fabales; Fabaceae
Description: long non-coding RNA (VRAD_LNC015938)
Source: RNAcentral
UCGAUUAAUACCUUUUUUAAUUGAUUAGUUAAUCGAUUAAUCCUUAGAAUAAUCGAUUAAAGAUAGUUGUUGGAGUUUUCUAAUUUUUCAAAACUGGUCGUUGUACUCAUUUUAAUCGAUUAACACUUGUAUUAAUCGAUUAAUAAUGUUAAAUGAGCAAUUACGAAGAAUGGAAGAGCGUUUGCUUGAGUCUAUAUAUAGGCCCUCUUUUUCCAUCAUGAUCAACUAUUCCC